This 234-nucleotide ribosomal RNA is filed under the name uncultured bacterium. Its description in RNAcentral is "partial 16S ribosomal RNA". It matches the Rfam family "Bacterial small subunit ribosomal RNA", at positions 118 to 351 of the family's 1533-position model. The record is from RNAcentral.
UGAGUAACCUGCCCUUAACUCUGGGAUAAGCCUGGGAAACCGGGUCUAAUACCGGAUAUGACUCCUCAUCGCAUGGUGGGGGGUGGAAAGCUUUAUUGUGGUUUUGGAUGGGCUCGCGGCCUAUCAGCUGGUUGGUGAGGUAAUGGCUCACCAAGGCUUCGACGGGUAGCCGGCCUGAGAGGACGACCGGCCACACUGGGACUGAGAUACGGCCCAGACUCCUACGGGAGGCAG